UACGGGGGGGGCAAGCGUUGUUCGGAAUUACUGGGCGUAAAGGGCUCGUAGGCGGCCAACUAAGUCAGACGUGAAAUCCCUAGGCUCAACCUAGGAACUGCGUCUGAUACUGGAUGGCUUGAAUCCGGGAGAGGGAUGCAGAAUUCCAGGUGUAGCGGUGAAAUGCAUAGAUAUCUGGAGGAAUACCGGUGGCGAAGGCGGCAUCCUGGACCGACAUUGACGCUGAUGAGCGAAAGCUAGGGGAGCAAACGGG
Molecule: ribosomal RNA, 253 nt
Filed under: uncultured bacterium
Lineage: Bacteria
Description: partial 16S ribosomal RNA
Rfam family: Bacterial small subunit ribosomal RNA
Source: RNAcentral